Molecule: transfer RNA, 84 nt
Filed under: Sedimentisphaerales bacterium
Lineage: Bacteria; Pseudomonadati; Planctomycetota; Phycisphaerae; Sedimentisphaerales
Description: tRNA-Pro
Source: RNAcentral
GCUCCGGUGAUGAAACGGCAGACAUAUUACGCAUGGAACGUAAUGGCAUUUAUUGCCUUCUGGGUUCGAUUCCCAGCCGGAGCA